Molecule: long non-coding RNA, 2088 nt
Organism: Bos taurus (domestic cattle)
Lineage: Eukaryota; Metazoa; Chordata; Mammalia; Artiodactyla; Bovidae
Source: Ensembl
AGUCAAAGGCUUUGGCAUAGUCAAUAAAGCAGAAAUCGAUGUUUUUCUGAAACUCUCUUGCUUUUUCAAUGAUCCAACAGAUGCUGGCGAUUUGAUCUCUGGUUCCUCUGCCUUUUCCAAAACCAGCUUGAACAUCUGGAAGUUCACAUAUUAUUGAAGCCUGGCUUGGAGAAUUUUGAGAAUGUAGCUUUAUUUGGGUGGCGUCUGUUUUUAAGAAUAAUCACCCUUGGAGGAAAAAGUGUUCUGACCACUGUCACAAGGAGAGGGUCGUAAAUUGUCAGCAGGCCCCCAUGGCCAGAAGAUGAUGUAACACCCCUAAGACCUCUGUAUACAUUUGUAUGAAGCACCUGACUUUGAUAAAAGUCAGGACUGCUGACCCCGCGUGACUUUUGCAUAACAUCUCAGUGUAUAAAAGUAGACCAUGGAAAAUAAAGAAUUGGGAUCAGUUCCUCGAAAGACUGGUCUCCCCAUGUCUCUCUCUCUCUCUCACUCUGGCUGAGUCUCCAUCUGGAACGCGGAACUCACCAUGCUUACUAAUUAUGCCUGGGCUUCUAAGAUCCGACCGGGGAGGCCUCAGUGUCUCCUCUCCUUCGGGAGAACGGAAGGACGCCUGUGGCCUACGUAAGUGGUGCAAACUUCUUGUCUUGAAGUUUUAUUGGUCUCCCGCGUAAACCAAGCCACUCAGCCUCUUUUCUCCACUGAAUUUUCCUACUGAGCUAUCCUUAUUCUAUUACUCUUUAUAUCUUUAAUUAAUAUCUAAUUGAAGCUAUUGUAUCCUGACCCUCGCCGACGCCGUCCCCGCUUCGAAUACCCUGGAUCAGCCGGAGCUGGACCCUGGCAACAAAGGAAGCCAAGAUUUUGGACUUGACACAUCCAGGUGGUGCUAGAUCAGACUGAUUGGAAACUGGCUGGGUGCCUCCAGCUCAGUGUCUGCUGCUUCUGCAAUGGCAGAGCCUAGACGUUCUCUGAACAGCUCCCUUCAAGAAUCCUAAAUGGAAAGAGAGAUAGUGCCCCACCCCAAGUUACCUGAGAGAGAGAGUGCAUGUGUGUAUAUACGUGUGUGUGUCUGUGUGUGCGUGCAUGUUAUGUGUGUGUAUGUGUAGGGGCAAGGAGGAUUCUCUGGGACUGGAGUUGACCCUGCCUUCCCCUCCCCUUGGGCUAAAGCUUCAAGAGCUGAGGAGGCAGAACUGCAGAGAGAGGGCUGCUGAGGGCUGAAGGGAAUCACGCCUAUAAGCGGGCCCUGCCAGGACCUAACAUUUUCCCUUCUCCAGCCACAGUAAAAAUAAAUGCUCCUGCCAUUAAUAGGACUAGACCUUGCCUGCCAAUGAACACAUCUGCAGAGGAGCCACCUGGAGGGACAAAUACACAAGGACUUGUCAGCUAUCCACCUGCCAGACUACUUCUCUUAAAGGCCCUGUGGGAAGCCCUCACAUACCACCCAGAAGAGAACCUGCUGAGUUCUGUGUGGCAGAAAGCAGGCAGGAAAGAAUUUGAGAGCAAGCCAUAGUAAAGUGAAAGAUUUAUUCAUGGAGAUGCACACUUCAUAAAGUGUGGGCCAUCUUAGAAGACCAGGUUGCAAAUAUACACUGACUUCCUUCAGUAGAAGUUGUGAAAUUGCUGGAAAAUGGCUGAGGAUCUUUGACCUGUCUCUUCAAAGGACCAGUUCCCAAGUCUCUCCUUUCAACACUCCCUGCUCGCUGCUAUUUAAGCUACCACCUGGAAGCAUAUUCAGCAUGUGGGACCAGCCCUAAAACUUGCUGGAGUUCUUGUUUCUUCCUUGGUCUGUACAAGGCCACCAUUCAGUAACCUUGAGAACCAUUAAACCCAUCACAAGACCACCUGAUGCCAGAUGAUUGAAGGAAUGAAGGCCCUGCAUGCACCCUGAUCCUUAUCAGCACCUCUGCCUCUUGACUACAAGACUCCUCACAAUCCACUUAUUCCACCCCCGGUUGGGACAUACAGUUUUGAGGGCAUUAGCCUGCUGCAGCCCCCUUUGCCUGGCAAAGCAAUAAAACUAUUCGUUUCUAUGUCAUCCAAAACUGUGUCUUUGAGAUUCAAUUUGGUGCUGGUUGCACAGAGGCUAGGUUU